CCGAAAAUACAAUCAUGCAUAACAUAUAUAAAUUGAACUGCCAAACAGUAACACACAGGGGUUUUCUUGAAAGUCCUGCGCUUACUAAAAACAUUUCUUUCAUUUUCAUAAGAUUGGUCGGCCGACCCAUUUUCCUUCAUAUGAUCCAUAUCUGUUCCUUUCUGUCACGCGCCGGGAAGGAGGCCUCCUUACCACGGACGCCA
Molecule: long non-coding RNA, 203 nt
Filed under: Salvia miltiorrhiza (redroot sage)
Lineage: Eukaryota; Viridiplantae; Streptophyta; Magnoliopsida; Lamiales; Lamiaceae
Description: long non-coding RNA (SMIL_LNC011817)
Source: RNAcentral